RNAcentral lists this transfer RNA (77 nucleotides) under Deltaproteobacteria bacterium. RNAcentral's name for it is "tRNA-Arg". It matches the Rfam family "tRNA". Rfam says of the family: Transfer RNA (tRNA) molecules are approximately 80 nucleotides in length. Lineage: Bacteria; Pseudomonadati; Myxococcota; Myxococcia. The record is from RNAcentral.
GCGCCCUUAGCUCAACUGGACAGAGCGUCGGACUUCGGAUCCGAUGGUUGGGGGUUCGAGUCCUCCAGGGCGCGCCA